GUCUGUAGGCGGUUUGGAAAGUCUUUUGUGAAAUUCUUCAGCUCAACUGGGGGUCCGCAAAAGAAACUUCUAGGCUUGAGGGAAGUAGAGGUACAGGGAAUUUCCGGUGGAGCGGUGAAAUGCGUAGAUAUCGGAAGGAACACCAAUAUGGCGAAGGCACUGUACUGGGCUUUACCUGACGCUAAGAGACGAAAGCUAAAGGAGUGAUUAGGAUUAGAUACCCUAGUAAUUUUAGCCGUAAACGAUGGAAACUCACUGCCGAGCCGGUAUUCGGAGCGGUGGUCAAGCUAACGCGUGAAGUUUCCCGCCUGGGGACUACGCAUGCAAAUGUGAAACUCAAAGGAAUUGACGGGGACCCGCACAAGCGGUGGAGUAUGUGGUUUAAUUCGAUGCAACGCGAAAAACCUUACCAAGGUUUGAAAUCAUUUCAAAACUCUUUGAAAGAAGAGCCUCCUUCGGGAUGGAAUGACAGGUGGUGCAUGGCUGUCGUCAGCUCGUGUUGUGAAAUGUCAAGUUAAGUCUUGUAACGAGCGCAACCCAUGUCUUUUGUUGCUGUUUACAGUGCUUAAAAGAGACUGCCGCUCUACAGCGGAGGAAGGUGUGGAUGAUGUCAAGUCAGCAUGCCCCUUAUAUCUUGGGCUACACACGUACUACAAUGGUAGGGACAAUGAGUCGCAAACCUGCGAAGGCUAGCCAAUCUCAAAAACCCUAUCUCAGUUCGGAUUGUACUCUGCAACUCGAGUGCAUGAAGGUGGAAUCGCUAGUAAUCGCUGGUCAGCAUACAGCGGUGAAUACGUUCCCGGGUCUUGUACACACUGCCCGUCACACCAUGGAAGUCGAUCCUUCCCUAAGUCGUUACUCGAACCUUUUAGGACGAGGAU
This 881-nucleotide ribosomal RNA is filed under the name uncultured Chlorophyta. Its description in RNAcentral is "bacterial SSU rRNA". It matches the Rfam family "Bacterial small subunit ribosomal RNA", at positions 567 to 1454 of the family's 1533-position model. Lineage: Eukaryota; Viridiplantae; Chlorophyta. The record is from RNAcentral.